Molecule: small RNA, 27 nt
Filed under: Bombyx mori (domestic silkworm)
Lineage: Eukaryota; Metazoa; Arthropoda; Insecta; Lepidoptera; Bombycidae
Description: ovarian small RNA-37691
Source: RNAcentral
UUGACGACAGUCAGUGUGCAGCCGGGC